GCCAGACUCCUACGGGAGGCAGCAGUGGGGAAUAUUGCACAAUGGGGGAAACCCUGAUGCAGCGACGCCGCGUGAGUGAAGAAGUAUUUCGGUAUGUAAAGCUCUAUCAGCAGGGAAGAAAAUGACGGUACCUGAUUAAGAAGCCCCGGCUAACUACGUGCCAGCAGCCGCGGUAAUACGUAGGGGGCAAGCGUUAUCCGGAUUUACUGGGUGUAAAGGGAGCGUAGACGGUGAUGCAAGUCAGAAGUGAAAGCCCGGGGCUCAACUCCGGGACUGCUUUUGAAACUGUGUGACUGGAGUGCAGGAGAGGUAAGCGGAAUUCCUGGUGUAGCGGUGAAAUGCGUAGAUAUCAGGAGGAACACCAGUGGCGAAGGCGGCUUACUGGACUGUAACUGACGUUGAGGCUCGAAAGCGUGGGGAGCAAACAGGAUUAGAUACCCUCGUAG
This 446-nucleotide ribosomal RNA is filed under the name uncultured bacterium. RNAcentral's name for it is "bacterial SSU rRNA". It matches the Rfam family "Bacterial small subunit ribosomal RNA", at positions 330 to 793 of the family's 1533-position model. The record is from RNAcentral.